This is a long non-coding RNA of Felis catus (domestic cat), 1828 nucleotides long. RefSeq lists it as uncharacterized. The record is from RefSeq and is a predicted model, not a curated record. NCBI's taxonomy places the organism in Eukaryota, Metazoa, Chordata, Mammalia, Carnivora, Felidae. The transcript is spliced from 4 exons.
UAGUGGAAGGAAAUGUUUUCAUGCUGAAAGAAAGAAAAAUUCAGUACAGCUAGAUAAAGGUCAAGAAAAAAUCUCCCACAACUCUGCAGUGACUGAGUUGAAGAAUAGAAUUAGGUUGUGAUCAAGGGCAACAAAUGAUAAUGGUAGAGAUAUGAAAGGGAAAAAUAAACAAGAUAGGAGAAAUGCAAUAUGGUCCUGCUAAUAUUGACAAUGUUCCCAAGAAUUCAGCCACAGGGAGGAGAACCAAAGUCACAUAACCUGUGAUCAUAAUCUCUUAAGGGUAAAUAAAGAAGGAACAGGAGGAUUUCUAUACAAACAUUCCACAAAAUAACACUUUUUUAAAAGCCUUAACGUGGAUUAUCUGUAAAAUGACCACGAUGCCCAAGUCCAUCAGUUUAGAAGCUAUAUUUCUUGAGGAUAGGAACGAGUUUGCCUCCUGAUAAAAACAGCAUUCCCAUGUCAUCCUCAGGGCUCUGUCACUGCUGUGGUAGUAAGUGCAGAGGAGGCCAAAGGAGAUCGGGAUAACAGAAAACAGCUCCUUAUAAAGGAGGGCAACACCUGUUUUACAAUUGCUUUUAAUGUCCAGAGGAAUAGUUACAUUACUUCCUUACUGAAUUGAAUAUCCUGAAUUGAUUCUCUCUUCUGUGGUAUUCUGUAGCAAGAUGCAUGUUCUGCCUUAUGUGACUGCUGUUGAUGUACUUGUUUAAUUUACUUGUUCUUAUUUACUUUUAUAAAUUUCAUAAGAUUAUAUAUACAUGAAUUUUGAGGUCUGUAGUAGGUAGAAUAAUGCCUCUCCCAAACAUGUCCAUACCCUGAUUCCUGGAAUCUGUGAAUCAGUUAUAUCACAGGGCAAACGGUUCUGUGUAGAUGUGAUGAAGGAUAUGGUCCUUCAGAUGGGGAGGGUGAAUUGUAUUGUCCAGCUGGAUCCAAUCUAAUCACAGGCGUCCUUAAAAAAAAAAAAAAAGGUGAGAACCUUGCCUGGUGGGUCAGAGGGUUACGAGAGAGUUUCUGCUGAAAGUUGAUGGUUUUCAAGAUGGAGGAAGGGGCUGGGAGGUGAGGAAUGUGGUGGCUUCUAGAAGUUGAGAAUGGCCCUCAGUUUAUAGAGAGCAAGAAAGGGGAACCUCAGUCCUACAACUGCAGGGAACUGAGUUCUGCCAACAACCUGAAUGAGCUAAAAAACAGACUCCAAAAAGGUACUUAGCCAUGUAAAUCUUGAUUUUCACCCUGUGGGAUGAGCAACGGACUUUCCACCUAUAGAGCCAGAAGAUAUAAAUUGCUCUCCAGACAGUAUGAUGAUACCCAUUUCCAGAAGAGUAGAAGUUACUCCCUGAGUGGAGACCCAUCAAGGUUUAUUGGACAGAAAUAAAUUAAUUCUUCCACUUACGGAAUUCCAAGAAAGAACACAGAAAAUGCUCUGGAUGUCAGAAUAAAUACUUUCCGAUGACCCAUCUUCAAGUUCAUUGACUGACCUUUUCUUCUGCAAUCACCAAUUGACUCUUAAGGAUCCAAGCCACAGUGAUGUCUUGUCUGGAUUAUUCAUCACAUUGGUCUCCCAGGUUCAACUUUUACCCUUUCAACCUACUCUCCCAAGAAGCCACAAAAAUGAUCUGAAAAUGAAACUCCUAUCGUAGGAGCAAGGUACUGCAAGACGCUUCCCACUUAAAACCUUUGGCUUUCCAUGACUGACAGGGUUCUGCAUGGUUGGCCCUUGCUUUCCUUUCCAAUGCUUUAUUUUUCUAGCCACUGGACCCAUUGCACUGGUCAUACACUAAAUUCUCCCAUCUCCGGGCCUUCAAAUUUACUCUUUUCCUGUCCUUUGAUGUGAGUG